GGAGAUUUGACUCAAGUAGUAGAGCACCAGCCUAGGAAGCUUGAAGCCCUGAGUUCAAAUCUCAGUUCCA
RNAcentral lists this transfer RNA (70 nucleotides) under Dipodomys ordii (Ord's kangaroo rat). It matches the Rfam family "tRNA". Rfam says of the family: Transfer RNA (tRNA) molecules are approximately 80 nucleotides in length. Their secondary structure includes four short double-helical elements and three loops (D, anti-codon, and T loops). Further hydrogen bonds mediate the characteristic L-shaped molecular structure. tRNAs have two regions of fundamental functional importance: the anti-codon, which is responsible for specific mRNA codon recognition, and the 3' end, to which the tRNAs corresponding amino acid is attached (by aminoacyl-tRNA synthetases). tRNAs cope with the degeneracy of the genetic code in two manners: having more than one tRNA (with a specific anti-codon) for a particular amino acid; and 'wobble' base-pairing, i.e. permitting non-standard base-pairing at the 3rd anti-codon position. The record is from Rfam by way of RNAcentral. Lineage: Eukaryota; Metazoa; Chordata; Mammalia; Rodentia; Heteromyidae.